GCGAGGUGCCCGAGCUCUAUGCGCUCUUUAGGCCGGCCGGCGGGAGGCAGCGGCAAGAGGCGCUUUUCCGGAGCGCCCGCUCGGCAGCAAGGCCUCGGACGGAGGCGAAAUAAAUAAUGCACGAAAAAGGAAAACAGACCUUUCAGACCAACGUCUUGGCGACCUUCUUCAUGUCAGAGCCCCAGGACGCGAUAGAUACUCUUCUCCGUAGGACUCUAGGGAUCCGGAUCCGCCCCUCCACUGCACUGGGGAUGGAACUCAGUACCUUCUGCUUGGGAGGCAGGCGCGUUGCCACUGAGCUAAAUGCCUGGCCCUGCAUUAUCUAAUCUGGUCUUCAGCAUUCCUAUACUGGACCUCUAUGUACCAAUGCACCUCUUGAGAGUCACCUGGCCCUCAUCUUCCUGGCCCAUCCAACACUGCAGAAUGUCACAGCCUCCCUUAGGGUGAAGACAAGCUCCAUUGCAGAUCUCUCAUGCCACAGUAGGACCCAGGGAUGUGCUGGCUCCUCUCGCCCUUUCUGGGUAUAGAUGGUGACCCACACACUGUCACACAGGAUCUGCUUACAGAGGCCACUUGGCAGCUCUACUCAGAAAUGGAAAGGAGUUAAACUUUGGGGGAAAACUUUGGCCAAUGAAAGGCAGGAGAUGAAAGGAACCCAGCAUACGGAUUCCAGUGGUUCCAGUUGACCUGUCAGGAGGUGUCCAGUAGGUGAUUAAGCAACUGGCAAUGUUUUCUCCAGAUAUGUGGCCAGCUUGAUAAUUCACAACUUUGUAUUUGCUCCCCGCCUUACUACCACUUUUCCCUUGUUUUUCUUACCCUAGGAUUUUAUCC
RNAcentral lists this long non-coding RNA (831 nucleotides) under Heterocephalus glaber (naked mole-rat). RNAcentral describes it as "lncRNA (ENSHGLG00100040872.1)". Lineage: Eukaryota; Metazoa; Chordata; Mammalia; Rodentia; Bathyergidae. The record is from RNAcentral.